Molecule: ribosomal RNA, 393 nt
Filed under: uncultured bacterium
Lineage: Bacteria
Description: partial 16S ribosomal RNA
Rfam family: Bacterial small subunit ribosomal RNA
Source: RNAcentral
AUACGUAGGGGGCGAGCGUUGUCCGGAAUCACUGGGCGUAAAGCGCACGUAGGCGGGCUGUUAAGUCGGCCGUGAAAUACACUGGCUCCACCGGUGCAGGUCGGUCGAUACUGGCGGUCUGGGGUGUUGGAGGAGGAAACGGGAAUUCCGGGGUAGCGGUGGGAUGCGUAGAUAUCGGGAGGAACACCAGUGGCGAAGGCGGGUUCCUGGCCCAUGACUGACGCUGAGGUGCGAAAGCCGGGGGAGCGAACGGGAUUAGAUACCCCGGUAGUCCCGGCUGUAAACGAUGGAUGCUAGGUGUGGGGGGUUAUCCCUCUGUGCCGCAGCUAACGCGAUAAGCAUCCCGCCUGGGGAGUACGAUCGCAAGAUUGAAACUCAAAUGAAUUGACGGGG